RNAcentral lists this ribosomal RNA (426 nucleotides) under uncultured Gammaproteobacteria bacterium. Its description in RNAcentral is "bacterial SSU rRNA". It matches the Rfam family "Bacterial small subunit ribosomal RNA", at positions 356 to 774 of the family's 1533-position model. The record is from RNAcentral. Lineage: Bacteria; Pseudomonadati; Pseudomonadota; Gammaproteobacteria.
GGGGAAUAUUGCACAAUGGGCGCAAGCCUGAUGCAGCCAUGCCGCGUGUAUGAUGAAGGCCUUCGGGUUGUAAAGUACUUUCAGCGGGGAGGAAGGUGUUGUGGUUAAUAACCACAGCAAUUGACGUUACCCGCAGACGAAGCACCGGCUAACUCCGUGCCAGCAGCCGCGGUAAUACGGAGGGUGCAAGCGUUAAUCGGAAUUACUGGGCGUAAAGCGCACGCAGGCGGUCUGUCAAGUCGGAUGUGAAAUCCCCGGGCUCAACCUGGGAACUGCAUUUGUGACUGCAUGUCUAGAGUACGGUAGAGGGGGAUGGAAUUCCGCGUGUAGCAGUGAAAUGCGUAGAUAUGCGGAGGAACACCGAUGGCGAAGGCAAUCCCCUGGACCUGUACUGACGCUCAUGCACGAAAGCGUGGGGAGCAAACA